AUGGAAGCAGCAGGUUUGGAGAGUGUGGACCCAGCUAUUAGUCUGAUGGUGACAGAUCUGAGGAAACUGCCCCUGACAUCUCUCUUGGUCGUGUUGAAGUGGAUUAUGCCCCUCCAAUUAAUAGGUCAAAGGACUCUGUGUGAGACACUAACAGCAAAAAUAUAUAUUUUUUUGAUUCCAACAAACUGCAGACCUAUUAAUAUCGCUGACAAAACACACAUUACAUAGCUUUGGUUCCACAAUUGAAACACUUGAAGUGCCUCCCCAAGAGUGACAGAGAGAGAGUGGAUAAAUGUUUACAGAGUUUAUUGUCAACAUGAAUGUGCAAGAUGUUCAAUAAACAUGUUCAAUAUACAUUAGUACACAUAUAUAUAUAUAUAUAUAUAUAUAUAUAUAUAUAUAUAUAUAUAUAUAUAUAUAUAUAUAUAUAUAUAUAUAUAUUAGUACACUAAUAUAUAUAUAUAUAUAUAUAUUAGUACACUAAUAUAUAUAUAUAUAUAUAUAUAUAUAUUAGUACACUAAUAUAUAUAUAUAUAUAUAUAUAUAUAUUAGUACACUAAUAUAUAUAUAUAUAUAUAUAUAUAUAUAUUAGUACACUAAUAUAUAUAUAUAUAUAUAUAUAUAUAUAUAUAUAUUAGUACACUAAUAUAUAUAUAUAUAUAUAUAUAUAUAUAUUAGUACACUAAUAUAUAUAUAUAUAUAUAUAUAUAUAUAUAUAUAUAUAUAUAUAUAUAUAUAUAUAUUAGUAACUAAUAUAUAUAUAUAUAUAUAUAUAUAUAUAUAUAUAUAUAUAUAUAUAUAUAUAUAUAUAUAUAUAUAUUAGUACACUAAUAUAUAUAUAUAUAUUAGUACACUAAUAUAUAUAUAUAUAUAUAUAUAUAUUAGUACACUAAUAUAUAUAUAUAUUAGUACACUAAUAUAUAUAAUAUAUAUAUAUAUAUAUAUAUAUAUAUAUAUAUAUAUAUAUAUAUAUAUAUAUAUAUUAGUACACUAAUAUAUAUAUAUAUAUAUAUAUAUAUAUUAGUACACUAAUAUAUAUAUAUAUAUAUAUAUAUAUAUAUUAGUACACUAAUAUAUAUAUAUAUAUAUAUUAGUACACUAAUAUAUAUAUAUAUAUAUUAGUACACUAAUAUAUAUAUAUAUAUAUUAGUACACUAAUAUAUAUAUAUAUAUAUAUAUAUAUAUUAGUACACUAAUAUAUAUAUAUAUAUAUUAGUACACUAAUAUAUAUAUAUAUAUAUAUAUAUAUAUUAGUACACUAAUAUAUAUAUAUAUAUAUUAGUACACUAAUAUAUAUAUAUAUAUAUAUAUAUAUAUAUAUUAGUACACUAAUAUAUAUAUAUAAACCUAUAUACUAUAUAGGUUUUUAAAAAAG
Molecule: long non-coding RNA, 1375 nt
Filed under: Oreochromis niloticus (Nile tilapia)
Lineage: Eukaryota; Metazoa; Chordata; Actinopteri; Cichliformes; Cichlidae
Description: lncRNA (ENSONIG00000038347.1)
Source: RNAcentral